CCAAAUCACCCGCGAGUCUCGCCCCACUCCACCCCAGCCGCCGAACAAACCCUAACCCCUUUCUCUUUCCCCUCGAUCCCCACGAGCUCCCUCUCUACCUCCCAAUGCAUACUUUCCUCGCCCGUAGCCAUCGGCUUUGUCUGUCCACCCGCCUCCUCCUCUCCUCUACACGGUGGUCGAUCUCAUCGCUGGCCUUCUCCUCUGCUUGCCUCCUCCUGUCCUCUUCCAUGUCGCCGUCGAUCCAGAUCGGACGUACAUCGUCGUGGGAGAGCAGCGGCGGCUGGGUCUUCAUGGUGCGGGUGAGGAUGUAGGGGAGGGGUAGGAUGCAGACGACAAGGAGAAGGAGGAGGCCGGCGAGGAAGUGAAGCAGCAGCGGGGAAGGAGCAGGAGAGCGAUCCUAGCAGGGGGAAGGGGCAGGGUGAGGCCUUGCCGGCAGGUUGACUUGUCGCGCCACCACGUCGUCGCCUCCUCUGCGCCAUGAGAGGCGCCACCUCUGCCUCCACCCCCACUGGGAAAGGAGCUCGAGGUGAACAGGAGGUGUGGAAAGGCGAGAGGAAGCAAGAGCUCGUCCCUCCUCCCAUGGCCGCCUCGUGGAUCUGGAGUACAAGGAGGACAACACGUGCCUGUUGCAGGCGGCUUGAGCGACGCGAACCAGGCUCACUAAUGGAGCAUGCCUAAUCUUGGACUGCAUUUAUUGCCUGGUGUUGGGUGCUUUGGAUGGUGGUCUUGAUAUUCCGCAUAGUGACAAGAGAUUUGGUGGCUUCAAGAAGGAUGAGAAGCAGCUGGACACUAAGAUUCACCUCAAAUUCAUUUAUGAAGAUCAUGUUGUUGACUGCAUGAAGCUGAUGAGGAUCCUGAGAAAUGCCAAUUUCACUUUAAUGGGUACAUCAAGAAGGGGAUUGCGGCUGAUGACAUGGAAGCACUGUACAAGAAGGUUCAUGCUGCCAUUUGUGCUGAUCCUACCAUGGCAAAAUCAACCAAGGAACCUCCGAAGACGCACAAGAGGACUGUUCGCUGCACGUAUAAUCUCAAGAAGCGUUGAGGUAGGUGACACAACUUGCCAUGUAUGUGAUGUUGCAACUCAAAAUUAAGAUGUUGUCAAUCCAAUAAGAGAAGGCAAGGAGCUAUUGGUGAUCGUGUGGUGCGCGACCUUAUACUGGAUCAUGAAGUUUACCAGUAUGUAGUAAUGGGUUUCAAAAUGUAUCCAAGAUUGCAGGAAGUUAAUUACACCAUCAGUGGAAGAUGGACAUAGCCCCUCAGGACCCAUGGAAGCAUUAGGAACUGGUCCGCAACGUCUUCCAGUGUACGCGUACACACAAUUCGCUUUCCUUUUCUUUUCAAACUUUUUAUAGAUGAUGUGGUUGAGUUACUAAGCCUCUUCUUGCUGUGUCGUCUGCGAGGCCGAAGGGUGUGAGCAAUUUAACUGAGGCUGAUGCAAUCUUUGGACCAGUAGUGACGCCAGUGCCUGUAUAUCCCAUGACUGGUUCUUUCAGCUCAAUAUCCAUACACUACUUGUUUGUAUUCUGUAUUCCAAUGCAAAUUAUGAUUGUUGUUGAACACUUCUGCAUGUAAGUGCACUACUCUCUGUACUAAAAAAAUGUCACUUCACUACCACAAUGCUAGCAUGCAUUCUUUUUUACAAUUGUUCAUCUUCUUUCUCCUCUGUUCGUCACUAAGAUUCAUCUAUGACCACCUCUUUGAGGAGAUCAACUAAUCUUGUUGCAGUUUUUGUUGAAACAUUGAUUAGGUGCUCCAAGAAUGUAUGUGAGCUUGACAUUGUAUUUAACUUCAUCAAGGUACAAUGAUACAUUAUCCACUGAUUGUUGUAGUGAAAUGUCGCUGUAGCUAUUAAUUUGCAGAAUCUUGCAUGACAAACUAUAGGCAUGUGAUCUCUAUGGUGUUCCAGUAAAUAAAGAAAACUGGAAUAUGUGCCUUCAAUUUUUUUAUGACAAACCAUGCAUUGGUACAUAUGAAUGCAUUGGUACAUAUGAACCAUGCAUUGUUGUAGUGAAAUGUCGCUGUAGCUAUUAAUUUUUUUUAUGACAAACCAUGCAUUGGUACAUAUGAACCAUAUGAAUAGGACUGAAGAUCUAUUUUUCUGUCAUGUUUGUGAGUUUUCUGUUAUUUCCUCUCAGUGUGAAUAGGACUGAAGAAGAUGGACAUAGCCCUUUAGGUAAUUUCACUUUUUUUGAACAGCAAACCAUAGAACAAUAGUUCUAUGGUAUAUUUUCAUUAAAAACAGUAUGUUACAAAGGGAAAGGAGAAAAUAGAAACAAAAGAAAAAAGAUCUAAGCUAAUGGGGCAAUGCCCUUAUCCAAUUUAUGUUUUGGGCAACAUGAGAAUCAUUUAAAAAUUGAUCUGGCAGCCUGCUUGAACAAGGUGGAAUGCUCGUCUUUGAUCUUGUGUUGAAGUAGUUGAAGAUCCUUUUUUAAUUCAAGCCUCUAAUUUGAGACUGUCGGCUGGAUGUUUCUGAAGACCUUGCCAUCUCACUUUGUCCUGGAUUAAUAAAAGAUUACAAAUUUAUUUGUCUAAAUAGGACAGGUUAUUUACGAAGGUAUACCAUUUCUAUUGACUGGAUAAUUUACAUGUUGGCAAGGACUUAUUGGUGCAGCCUGGUCAUAAUUGCUCGGCCAAUUUCCCAACCCAAAUCCAGAACCACUUCAUCUUUCGAUCUUUACAUGAUUGAUGAAAUGCCUUAGACACUAAGAUCUGCACUUUGUUUUUCUCCGUUCUCAUACUCACAGAUUAACCGAUGGCUGUAAGACCUAGAGAAGCAUUAGGAACUGGUCUGUAGUGUCUUCCAGUGUAUGCGUACACACAAUUCACUUUCCUUUUCUUUUUGCCCUUUGUAUAGAUGAUGUGGUUGAGUUACGAAGCCUCUUAUUGCAGUGUUGUCUGCAAGGCCGAAGGGAAGUUAUUAAUGCAUUUGAGCUGCUCUAUCUGAUUGCUCAUCUCCUGAACCUGUUUUAGUUGAUAUAAAAGUGUUCUCUAUUUCAGAAAGCCAGAACACGAGAUUGUGCCCCCUCUUGCUCCAGGCUAUUCCUCAUGUUGCAACCUUUUCCCAUAGAAUUGAAAGGAAGAUGGAAGAAAUUGCAGGAGCUUGCUAUUAUUUGAGCAGGAAUGGUGUUUCCAGCAUGACAUUCAAAACCAGUCAAGACUAUAAAGGGGCUGUGAAGGACGAAAUGCUAUGGAUCCAGAGUGGGAGGGGAGAGUUACCAACAAUGUAUCAAGGAUAAACCGUGACAUGGAUUCCUAAGUUCCAACUUACAUAGCAAAAUUAUAUAGGGAGAAUGCCUACAUUUUGAAAACUCUAUUACAUAGUUUGAAGUUAUUGUACACAAUGGAACUGAACAUGUAGAGCAAAAGAGACGAGCCUUGCAUGGCAAUAAAAUUUCAUGCAGAUGUCGCUCCAUGGUGGGCGCAAAGGCAACCCCCUCCACCCAUUUCGGAUUGUAAUCAAGAAGAAGAUAACUGUUUUGAGUGGGAUUCAGAAGGAGAAGACCACUCAUAUUUACCCCCUGAGGUCUUCUCUCUAACUUGCCAUUCGGCACGGAUAUGGAAAAAUCGGGAGUGGAAACAAGGUCUUCAGAGCGGAC
Molecule: RNA transcript, 3596 nt
Organism: Triticum aestivum (bread wheat)
Lineage: Eukaryota; Viridiplantae; Streptophyta; Magnoliopsida; Poales; Poaceae
Exons: 11
Source: RefSeq, a predicted model, not a curated record